GUUCACAUAAGAUGAUGAUGCACAUAUACUAAAAUUGGAACAAUACAGAGAAGAUGAGCAUGGCCCCUGUGCAAGGAUGACACUCAAAUUCAUGAAGCAUUCCAUAUUUUU
Molecule: small nuclear RNA, 111 nt
Organism: Mustela putorius furo (domestic ferret)
Lineage: Eukaryota; Metazoa; Chordata; Mammalia; Carnivora; Mustelidae
Source: Ensembl